CAAUAGAGCAUGGUGUGUGCAUUAAAGAGAGCUCACCAGCUGCAGUAACUGCUAUUCAAUGUAGAGGGAGCACUGGUCCGGUACAACUGUGAUUUAUGGACUUCAUCAACCAACCAACCAAUGCAAGGCUGCGUCGAAGAUUUGAAGAAAGAGACAUCCUCGACGUUUUGAUGACCUCUGAAGGACAGAGGAGGUUUCACGAUGGUGACGCUUACCAGCCUGCCCACAGGCAGUCUUCUCAUGGUACGAACUACAGGUAAAUAAAUAAAUAUACACGACUACCCUUAGUUAUUCAGAGACCGUUCCAUCUGCACACACACACAUGCCAAGUGCAUGUAUGCAGAAGCAGUGUAACAAUAAACAAGCUGGGCCAAGUUCUCGCUCGCCAUGCAGUUUACAUUGACACGGCCUGGAAACGAGGAUCAGAAAUCA
Molecule: long non-coding RNA, 432 nt
Organism: Brachypodium distachyon (stiff brome)
Lineage: Eukaryota; Viridiplantae; Streptophyta; Magnoliopsida; Poales; Poaceae
Exons: 2
Source: RefSeq, a predicted model, not a curated record